GAUGAACGCUGGCGGCGUGCCUAACACAUGCAAGUCGAACGGAGUCCAGCCUUUAAGACCUUCGGGUCAAAGAGGGGAAGACUGAGUGGCGGACGGGUGAGUAACACGUGGGCAACCUGGCUCGUAGAGGGGGAUAACAGAGAGAAAUUUCUGCUAAUACCGCAUAAGCACACACUGCCGCAUGGCAGAGGGUGAAAAGAGAAUCGCUAUGAGAUGGACCCGCGUCUGAUUAGCCAGUUGGCAGGGUAAGAGCCUACCAAAGCGACGAUCAGUAGCCGAUCUGAGAGGAUGAACGGCCACAUUGGGACUGAGACACGGCCCAAACUCCUACGGGAGGCAGCAGUGGGGGAUAUUGCACAAUGGGGGGAACCCUGAUGCAGCGACGCCGCGUGAGUGAAGAAGUAUUUCGGUAUGUAAAGCUCUAUCAGCAGGGAAGAUAAUGACAGUACCUGAAUAAGAAGCCCCGGCUAACUACGUG
Molecule: ribosomal RNA, 478 nt
Filed under: uncultured bacterium
Lineage: Bacteria
Description: partial 16S ribosomal RNA
Rfam family: Bacterial small subunit ribosomal RNA
Source: RNAcentral